Molecule: ribosomal RNA, 513 nt
Filed under: uncultured bacterium
Lineage: Bacteria
Description: bacterial SSU rRNA
Rfam family: Bacterial small subunit ribosomal RNA
Source: RNAcentral
AGUAACACGUGACUAAUCUACCCUCGAGCGGGGAAUAACCUAGGGAAACCUGGGCUAAUACCGCAUAAUCCCUACGGGGCAAAGGAGCAAUCCACUUGAGGAGGAGGUCGCGGCCGAUUAGCUAGUUGGCGGGGUAAUGGCCCACCAAGGCAGUGAUCGGUAUCCGGCCUGAGAGGGCGCACGGACACACUGGAACUGAAACACGGUCCAGACUCCUACGGGAGGCAGCAGUGGGGAAUUUUGCGCAAUGGGGGAAACCCUGACGCAGCAACGCCGCGUGGAGGAUGAAAUCCCUUGGGAUGUAAACUCCUUUCGAUCGGGACGAUUAUGACGGUACCGGAAGAAGAAGCCCCGGCUAACUUCGUGCCAGCAGCCGCGGUAAUACGAGGGGGGCAAGCGUUGUUCGGAAUUAUUGGGCGUAAAGGGUGCGUAAGCGGUUUGACAAGUCUGAUGUGAAAUCUAUGGGCUCAACCAUAGUCUGCAUCGGAAACUGUCGGGCUUGAGUAUGGGAAA